Molecule: ribosomal RNA, 2789 nt
Filed under: Escherichia coli
Lineage: Bacteria; Pseudomonadati; Pseudomonadota; Gammaproteobacteria; Enterobacterales; Enterobacteriaceae
Description: bacterial LSU rRNA
Rfam family: Bacterial large subunit ribosomal RNA
Source: RNAcentral
AGCGUACACGGUGGAUGCCCUGGCAGUCAGAGGCGAUGAAGGACGUGCUAAUCUGCGAUAAGCGUCGGUAAGGUGAUAUGAACCGUUAUAACCGGCGAUUUCCGAAUGGGGAAACCCAGUGUGUUUCGACACACUAUCAUUAACUGAAUCCAUAGGUUAAUGAGGCGAACCGGGGGAACUGAAACAUCUAAGUACCCCGAGGAAAAGAAAUCAACCGAGAUUCCCCCAGUAGCGGCGAGCGAACGGGGAGCAGCCCAGAGCCUGAAUCAGUGUGUGUGUUAGUGGAAGCGUCUGGAAAGGCGCGCGAUACAGGGUGACAGCCCCGUACACAAAAAUGCACAUGCUGUGAGCUCGAUGAGUAGGGCGGGACACGUGGUAUCCUGUCUGAAUAUGGGGGGACCAUCCUCCAAGGCUAAAUACUCCUGACUGACCGAUAGUGAACCAGUACCGUGAGGGAAAGGCGAAAAGAACCCCGGCGAGGGGAGUGAAAAAGAACCUGAAACCGUGUACGUACAAGCAGUGGGAGCACAGAGCAAUCUGUGUGACUGCGUACCUUUUGUAUAAUGGGUCAGCGACUUAUAUUCUGUAGCAAGGUUAACCGAAUAGGGGAGCCGAAGGGAAACCGAGUCUUAACUGGGCGUUAAGUUGCAGGGUAUAGACCCGAAACCCGGUGAUCUAGCCAUGGGCAGGUUGAAGGUUGGGUAACACUAACUGGAGGACCGAACCGACUAAUGUUGAAAAAUUAGCGGAUGACUUGUGGCUGGGGGUGAAAGGCCAAUCAAACCGGGAGAUAGCUGGUUCUCCCCGAAAGCUAUUUAGGUAGCGCCUCGUGAAUUCAUCUCCGGGGGUAGAGCACUGUUUCGGCAAGGGGGUCAUCCCGACUUACCAACCCGAUGCAAACUGCGAAUACCGGAGAAUGUUAUCACGGGAGACACACGGCGGGUGCUAACGUCCGUCGUGAAGAGGGAAACAACCCAGACCGCCAGCUAAGGUCCCAAAGUCAUGGUUAAGUGGGAAACGAUGUGGGAAGGCCCAGACAGCCAGGAUGUUGGCUUAGAAGCAGCCAUCAUUUAAAGAAAGCGUAAUAGCUCACUGGUCGAGUCGGCCUGCGCGGAAGAUGUAACGGGGCUAAACCAUGCACCGAAGCUGCGGCAGCGACGCUGAUGCGUUGUUGGGUAGGGGAGCGUUCUGUAAGCCUGCGAAGGUGUGCUGUGAGGCAUGCUGGAGGUAUCAGAAGUGCGAAUGCUGACAUAAGUAACGAUAAAGCGGGUGAAAAGCCCGCUCGCCGGAAGACCAAGGGUUCCUGUCCAACGUUAAUCGGGGCAGGGUGAGUCGACCCCUAAGGCGAGGCCGAAAGGCGUAGUCGAUGGGAAACAGGUUAAUAUUCCUGUACUUGGUGUUACUGCGAAGGGGGGACGGAGAAGGCUAUGUUGGCCGGGCGACGGUUGUCCCGGUUUAAGCGUGUAGGCUGGUUUUCCAGGCAAAUCCGGAAAAUCAAGGCUGAGGCGUGAUGACGAGGCACUACGGUGCUGAAGCAACAAAUGCCCUGCUUCCAGGAAAAGCCUCUAAGCAUCAGGUAACAUCAAAUCGUACCCCAAACCGACACAGGUGGUCAGGUAGAGAAUACCAAGGCGCUUGAGAGAACUCGGGUGAAGGAACUAGGCAAAAUGGUGCCGUAACUUCGGGAGAAGGCACGCUGAUAUGUAGGUGAAGUCCCUCGCGGAUGGAGCUGAAAUCAGUCGAAGAUACCAGCUGGCUGCAACUGUUUAUUAAAAACACAGCACUGUGCAAACACGAAAGUGGACGUAUACGGUGUGACGCCUGCCCGGUGCCGGAAGGUUAAUUGAUGGGGUCAGCGCAAGCGAAGCUCUUGAUCGAAGCCCCGGUAAACGGCGGCCGUAACUAUAACGGUCCUAAGGUAGCGAAAUUCCUUGUCGGGUAAGUUCCGACCUGCACGAAUGGCGUAAUGAUGGCCAGGCUGUCUCCACCCGAGACUCAGUGAAAUUGAACUCGCUGUGAAGAUGCAGUGUACCCGCGGCAAGACGGAAAGACCCCGUGAACCUUUACUAUAGCUUGACACUGAACAUUGAGCCUUGAUGUGUAGGAUAGGUGGGAGGCUUUGAAGUGUGGACGCCAGUCUGCAUGGAGCCGACCUUGAAAUACCACCCUUUAAUGUUUGAUGUUCUAACGUGGACCCGUAAUCCGGGUUGCGGACAGUGUCUGGUGGGUAGUUUGACUGGGGCGGUCUCCUCCUAAAGAGUAACGGAGGAGCACGAAGGUUGGCUAAUCCUGGUCGGACAUCAGGAGGUUAGUGCAAUGGCAUAAGCCAGCUUGACUGCGAGCGUGACGGCGCGAGCAGGUGCGAAAGCAGGUCAUAGUGAUCCGGUGGUUCUGAAUGGAAGGGCCAUCGCUCAACGGAUAAAAGGUACUCCGGGGAUAACAGGCUGAUACCGCCCAAGAGUUCAUAUCGACGGCGGUGUUUGGCACCUCGAUGUCGGCUCAUCACAUCCUGGGGCUGAAGUAGGUCCCAAGGGUAUGGCUGUUCGCCAUUUAAAGUGGUACGCGAGCUGGGUUUAGAACGUCGUGAGACAGUUCGGUCCCUAUCUGCCGUGGGCGCUGGAGAAUUGAGGGGGGCUGCUCCUAGUACGAGAGGACCGGAGUGGACGCAUCACUGGUGUUCGGGUUGUCAUGCCAAUGGCACUGCCCGGUAGCUAAAUGCGGAAGAGAUAAGUGCUGAAAGCAUCUAAGCACGAAACUUGCCCCGAGAUGAGUUCUCCCUGACUCCUUGA